AUUGAACGCUGGCGGAAUGCUUUACACAUGCAAGUCGAACGGCAGCACGGACUUCGGUCUGGUGGCGAGUGGCGAACGGGUGAGUAAUAUAUCGGAACGUGCCCAGUCGUGGGGGAUAACGUAGCGAAAGCUACGCUAAUACCGCAUACGAUCUACGGAUGAAAGCGGGGGAUCGCAAGACCUCGCGCGAUUGGAGCGGCCGAUAUCAGAUUAGGUAGUUGGUGAGGUAAAGGCUCACCAAGCCGACGAUCUGUAGCUGGUCUGAGAGGACGACCAGCCACACUGGGACUGAGACACGGCCCAGACUCCUACGGGAGGCAGCAGUGGUGAAUUUUGGACAAUGGACGCAAGUCUGAUCCAGCCAUUCCGCGUGCAGGACGAAGGCCUUCGGGUUGUAAACUACUUUUGUACAGAACGAAAAGGUCUCUAUUAAUACUAGGGGCUCAUGACGGUACUGUAAGAAUAAGCACCGGCUAACUACGUGCCAGCCGCCGCGGUAA
This 500-nucleotide ribosomal RNA is filed under the name uncultured bacterium. RNAcentral describes it as "partial 16S ribosomal RNA". It matches the Rfam family "Bacterial small subunit ribosomal RNA", at positions 30 to 523 of the family's 1533-position model. The record is from RNAcentral.